This 489-nucleotide ribosomal RNA is filed under the name uncultured bacterium. RNAcentral describes it as "partial 16S ribosomal RNA". It matches the Rfam family "Bacterial small subunit ribosomal RNA", at positions 30 to 506 of the family's 1533-position model. The record is from RNAcentral.
AUUGAACGCUGGCGGCAUGCCUUACACAUGCGAGUCGAACGGCAGCAUGAUCUAGCUUGCUAGAUUGAUGGCGAGUGGCGAACGGGUGAGUAAUACAUCGGAACGUGCCCUGUAGUGGGGGAUAACUAGUCGAAAGAUUAGCUAAUACCGCAUACGACCUGAGGGUGAAAGUGGGGGACCGCAAGGCCUCAUGCUAUAGGAGCGGCCGAUGUCUGAUUAGCUAGUUGGUGAGGUAAAGGCUCACCAAGGCGACGAUCAGUAGCUGGUCUGAGAGGACGAUCAGCCACACUGGGACUGAGACACGGCCCAGACUCCUACGGGAGGCAGCAGUGGGGAAUUUUGGACAAUGGGCGAAAGCCUGAUCCAGCAAUGCCGCGUGUGUGAAGAAGGCCUUCGGGUUGUAAAGCACUUUUGUCCGGAAAGAAAUGGCUCUGGUUAAUACCUGGGGUCGAUGACGGUACCGGAAGAAUAAGGACCGGCUAACUACGU